This is a long non-coding RNA of Mugil cephalus (flathead mullet), 308 nucleotides long. RefSeq lists it as uncharacterized. The record is from RefSeq and is a predicted model, not a curated record. Lineage: Eukaryota; Metazoa; Chordata; Actinopteri; Mugiliformes; Mugilidae. The transcript has 3 exons.
AGCAGGUGACGAUGCAAUACUAGACAGCGUUUUGGAUUACGAGAAAGAGAGUGGACUUCUAUCUCAAUCUGAAAAUUAUCACAACAGACAGGCCCGAGACACCUCUGACUAACGACCAGAACCCGCUCACAAGGUGAACAAGGCUACUUGUACCAGCGAAGAUGGUGUCUACCCACUACUCGUCAUACCCGACACGCCAGAAAAGCAAGGCAGACAACUGGCUAACACUAAAGAAACUGACACUGACGGAGGACCAUCUGGAUCCAAAAUGAACAUACCAGAAGCGCCAGAGAAAGCAGUGACUGACC